Long non-coding RNA from Lagenorhynchus albirostris (white-beaked dolphin), 401 nucleotides. RefSeq lists it as uncharacterized. The record is from RefSeq and is a predicted model, not a curated record. The transcript has 3 exons. NCBI's taxonomy places the organism in Eukaryota, Metazoa, Chordata, Mammalia, Artiodactyla, Delphinidae.
CCCUAGAACAAGAGAAAUUGGUAGGGAAAUGGAAAGACAAAAGUUCUGAUGAUUUGCCCUUAAUUUCACCAAGUUAAGUCAACUUCAAGAGUCCUCUUGUCAGAAAGUCUAACAUGGAUCGGUGGGGUCUUAUUCCAUGAAUUUAGUCAAGGAACCUGGCUUCUUCUGCCUAGUGCUCUACCACCUUCAAGGCAGGGGACACGGGUUCGAGCCCUGGUCUGGGAGGAUCCCACAUGCCACGGAGCAACUACACCCGUGUGCCGCAACUACUGAGCCCGUGCCUAGAGCCCGUGCUCCAGAACAAGAGAAGACACCGCAGUGAGAAGCCGGCACUCCACAAUGAAGAGUAGCCCCCGCUGGCCGCAACUAGAGAAAGCCUGUGUGCAGCAACGGAGACCCAA